GGAAGAGACGCGUCCCCGGUGGGGCGGCUGGUCUUCAAAACCAGAUGGGGCCGCCAGCGGUCCCGGGCAGGUUCGACUCCUGUUCUCUUCCGCCA
RNAcentral lists this transfer RNA (95 nucleotides) under Chromobacterium aquaticum. RNAcentral describes it as "tRNA-Sec". It matches the Rfam family "Selenocysteine transfer RNA". RNAcentral also lists the same sequence under 1 other name. The record is from RNAcentral. Lineage: Bacteria; Pseudomonadati; Pseudomonadota; Betaproteobacteria; Neisseriales; Chromobacteriaceae.